Molecule: non-coding RNA, 1733 nt
Organism: Bemisia tabaci
Lineage: Eukaryota; Metazoa; Arthropoda; Insecta; Hemiptera; Aleyrodidae
Source: RefSeq, a predicted model, not a curated record
UGCUCUUCAUCGAUAGAGUUUUUCUGGAAGUGAAUGACAUCAUUGUAAUCCCGUAAAGAAGAGCAAUGCCGCCGACAAAGCGAAGAUGGAGGAACUUAGUGAUAGAGUAGAUCGGAUUUAACAUGGUGGUGAAAGUGGACUACGUUUUGCAAUUAGGAACUACAAUUUCAGGCUAAGUUUCGAAGCAAUAACGUGUGUACCAUUAGAUUCCCUAUGCAGGGUUCGUUUGUGCGUUCUACUGGGCCUAUUGCCAUGAUAUUUGAGGUCAUCGACAGGUGAUUGUCUCUGAGCCCGCUGUAAUCAGAUUUUGAAAAAAAUACCCAGGUUUUUUCAUAUAACAGUAGAUCAGGAAGCUUAGAAAGGGGGGCAAAAUUGAAAGAAGCGGGAAAUGUUGAAUCUGGUCGGUCAGUUGGGUGAAGUAGACAGAGCAGAGAGGAGAAUUUCAUGAGCCGCCGUCCGCAGCGCGCAUGACAGCACGACCCGCCUUUCAUUAUUACACUUAUUCUAAUGUAAUGUUAAAAGUCGGAAAUUUAAAAAGAAAAUUAAAAAAAAAGUAAUUUAUCACGGAGUUGUCUAUUUAACAGAAGUCGCUAAUUCAUUGAACCGCUAAGCCAGUAUAAAUCGCUUAUUUGGCUGAUGAAAAUGAGUUUUGGGACUUAUUUGGAUCAAUAAUCAUGAUUCGGAGUUUAUUUAGUCUUAAGCAAGUUUUAGGACCAUCAAUCGACCUCGGAAUAGCGUGUUCCGCAGUCGAGCAUCCUAUCCGCUCAGCUACCGAGGUUCGUUACAAGCUGAGCUGAGGUGAAUUAGCGAUGCCAGGAGCGCGCCGCGGCAGCGUGCUGCCAGCGCAAAACGCGCACUGACGCGUACAAACCUACAGGGCUACUUCACGCAUUGUGCAAUGCUUGAAGUAUCCCCUUAGAUUUGUAAGGGGCUAUUUCACGCAUUGCGCAAUGCUUGAAGUAUCCCCUUAGGUUUGUAGGCGCCAAUGCGCGUUUCAAGCUGGCACCACGCCGCGACGCAGCGUGCCAUAAACUUGCCCACAUUUAAUAGGUCAGGGUGUUUGAAUCUCGGCAAUUUGGCAUCAAAUUCGAAAUCAGCAACUCAGAAAUCAUCAGUGUCGAAACCUUCGUGAUUUUUCAGUCAUAAACCGACUUAUUUUUUCCUAUUUUUGAGUUCUGGACCAUAGUGCGCCGCGGACAGCGGCUCAUAAAAUUCUCCCCUGUGCUCAAUCGGGGUAAAGUCAGUCAAUCGAAGGUACGCUCCUUUACUAUAUAGACUAUAUAUAUCCGAAAGUGAAGAAAGGCUCCGUUCCGUUCGUUCCAUUUCAUUUAAGUCUUGGCGUGAAGUUUGAAAUAAAUGACGAUUUUUUUCUUUCGAAUCUUAUUGGUCCAAUUGCUCCCGGCCAUAGGAAGAUUGGACAAAUGAGAGUCGGGUAUGAAAAUCUUUUCAUUUUUUUGGUCGUUCUUUUGUCGGACCGGGCCUAAGAGAGCUCAAAGCGCCCUCUGGGGGUUUGGCCGUGUAGCGGCCACGGAUCAUAGCCCCCUAGUAUCUUUCUGAUGAUUUAAGUCAACGGGAUAAACCCGUAAACUUUAUUUCAAUCCUGUGCCAUAAUCUCUCAUUCCUCACCUUUACUUUAAAUGAGCGUGAUACGGAUAAGGGGGAACGAUCCACUACACCUUUUCAAUUUUCCAAUUUUAACAUGUUUUCCAGAAUAAAAAAAUUGAUAAUGCCUA